AUGCUCACUUCAGCAGCACGUAUACUAAAAUUGGACUGAUUUAGAGAAGAUUAGCAUGGACCCCUGCACAAGGAUGACAUACAAAUUCAUGAAGCAGUCCAUUUUUUU
Small nuclear RNA from Hippopotamus amphibius kiboko, 108 nucleotides. The record is from RefSeq and is a predicted model, not a curated record. NCBI's taxonomy places the organism in Eukaryota, Metazoa, Chordata, Mammalia, Artiodactyla, Hippopotamidae.